ACUAAUAUGCUAUCUUGUUAACCUGGAAAUUUUCUUCUUAGCAUCAAUUGAUAAUCCUUUAAAAUAUGCUAUCUUGUUAACCUGGAAAUUUUAAUCUUAGCAUCAAUUGAUAAUCCAUUCAGGAACUCCAACUAAUCAAGCAUCACUUGAUAUAAUCCAUUCAGGAACUCCAACCAACCAAACAUCACUUGAUAUAAUUUAUUCAGGGACUCCAACCAACCAAAGUAAAUUUAAAAUAUGCUAUCUUGUUAACCUGGAAAUUAUGAUUAUUCAAUAAAUCAAUUAAUUUUUUUAAAGCAAAAUGCCC
Gordionus sp. m RMFG-2023 is the source of this 307-nucleotide long non-coding RNA. RefSeq lists it as uncharacterized. NCBI's taxonomy places the organism in Eukaryota, Metazoa, Nematomorpha, Gordioida, Chordodea, Parachordodidae. The transcript has 3 exons. The record is from RefSeq and is a predicted model, not a curated record.